Molecule: transfer RNA, 72 nt
Organism: Camelus ferus (Wild Bactrian camel)
Lineage: Eukaryota; Metazoa; Chordata; Mammalia; Artiodactyla; Camelidae
Rfam family: tRNA
About the family: Transfer RNA (tRNA) molecules are approximately 80 nucleotides in length.
Source: Rfam
GAGGGUUUAGCUUGGUGGUAGAGUAUGUGCUUAGCAUGCACAAGGUGCUGAGUUCAAUCCCCAGUACCUCUA